RNAcentral lists this ribosomal RNA (292 nucleotides) under Escherichia coli. Its description in RNAcentral is "partial 16S ribosomal RNA". It matches the Rfam family "Bacterial small subunit ribosomal RNA", at positions 505 to 796 of the family's 1533-position model. The record is from RNAcentral. Lineage: Bacteria; Pseudomonadati; Pseudomonadota; Gammaproteobacteria; Enterobacterales; Enterobacteriaceae.
GUGCCAGCAGCCGCGGUAAUACAGAGGGUGCAAGCGUUAAUCGGAAUUACUGGGCGUAAAGCGCGCGUAGGUGGUUCGUUAAGUCGGAUGUGAAAUCCCCGGGCUCAACCUGGGAACUGCAUUCAAAACUGUCGAGCUAGAGUAUGGUAGAGGGUGGUGGAAUUUCCUGUGUAGCGGUGAAAUGCGUAGAUAUAGGAAGGAACACCAGUGGCGAAGGCGACCACCUGGACUAAUACUGACACUGAGGUGCGAAAGCGUGGGGAGCAAACAGGAUUAGAUACCCCAGUAGUCC